Molecule: long non-coding RNA, 464 nt
Organism: Prinia subflava (tawny-flanked prinia)
Lineage: Eukaryota; Metazoa; Chordata; Aves; Passeriformes; Cisticolidae
Exons: 3
Source: RefSeq, a predicted model, not a curated record
CUGGAUCUUCCGCUUGGACCGCUCGUGUUUGGGCAGGUUCCAGGGCAGCGUGUCCCCCGGCGCCGGCGACACCGUCCCCGACCGCUGGCUGAAGUCCUCCUCGUCGGAGAGAUCGGCGGAGGACGACAUGGAGCAUCGAACUCCAUGGUGAAGUUUGAAACGUGCAAGUUGAGAGGGAGGGAAUGAAUACAUAAGACCAAUUAACUGAAUUCUUGUUCACUGUACUGUGAUGUAGAGAGAGCAAAAGAAGUUUCCUGCUCACUGAGAUGGUGAGCUUCCACUAGAGGUUGUGUUUCCUCCAGGCGAGGUGUUACACGUCUUCUGGCAUGGCGAGGACUUGAUCUAAAGCCCUGCAACACAAAAAGUGAUCAUCGUGUUUGGCAUCUCCCAAAACGCAGCUGUGGCACUGAACAACAGCAAAAUUACACAGGAUCUUAACAUUAUUUUAACAUGCUUAAAUUAAU